Molecule: ribosomal RNA, 1243 nt
Filed under: metagenome
Description: bacterial LSU rRNA
Rfam family: Bacterial large subunit ribosomal RNA
Source: RNAcentral
CGUGAUGGGGUGGCCGCAAGGCUGGAAGCAACUGAUUUCACACUGUCAAGAAAAGCCGCUAGCGAGACCGUAGGUGCCCGUACCGCAAACCGACACAGGUAGAUGAGGAGAGAAUCCUAAGGUGAGCGAGAGAACUAUUGUUAAGGAACUCGGCAAAAUAACCCCGUAACUUCGGGAGAAGGGGUGCUCCGGAAACGGAGCCGCAGUGAAAAGUCCCAGGCGACUGUUUACCAAAAACACAGGUCUCUGCGAAAGCGAAAGCUGAAGUAUAGGGGCUGACGCCUGCCCGGUGCUGGAAGGUUAAGGGGAUGUGUUAGGGCAACCGAAGCACUGAACUUAAGCCCCAGUAAACGGCGGCCGUAACGAUAACGGUCCUAAGGUAGCGAAAUUCCUUGUCGGGUAAGUUCCGACCCGCACGAAAGGCGUAACGAUCUGGGAACUGUCUCAACAAUAGACUCGGUGAAAUUGUAGUACCGGUAAAGAUGCCGGUUACCCGCAGCAGGACGGAAAGACCCCAUGGAGCUUUACUGUAGCUUGAUAUUGAGAUUCGGCGUUGCAUGUACAGGAUAGGUGGGAGACUGCGAGGUAAGUACGCCAGUAUUUACGGAGUCACCGUUGGGAUACCACCCUUGUAACGUUGAGUUUCUAACAUUGCGCCGUGAUCCGGCGCAUGGACAGUGUCAGGUGGGCAGUUUGACUGGGGCGGUCGCCUCCUAAAGAGUAACGGAGGCGCCCAAAGGUUCCCUCAGUGCGGUCGGAAAUCGCGCGAAGAGUGUAAAGGCAGAAGGGAGCUUGACUGCGAGACAGACAAGUCGAGCAGGGACGAAAGUCGGGCUUAGUGAUCCGGUGGUUCCGCGUGGAAGGGCCAUCGCUCAACGGAUAAAAGCUGCCCUGGGGAUAACAGGCUGAUACCGCCCAAGAGUUCACAUCGACGGCGGUGUUUGGCACCUUGAUGUCGGCUCGUCUCAUCCUGGGGCUGAAGUAGGUCCCAAGGGUUGGGCUGUUCGCCCAUUAAAGAGGUACGCGAGCUGGGUUCAGAACGUCGUGAGACAGUUCGGUCCCUAUCCGCUGUGGGCGUUGGAGAUUUGAGUGGAGCUGUUCCUAGUACGAGAGGACCGGGAUGGACGUAGCUCUGGUGCACCAGUUGUUCUGCCAAGGGCAUCGCUGGGUAGCUACCUACGGACGGGAUAAGCGCUGAAAGCAUCUAAAUGCGAAGCCCCCCACGAGAAAAGAUCUCCUCCAA